RNAcentral lists this transfer RNA (73 nucleotides) under Chloroflexota bacterium. Its description in RNAcentral is "Chloroflexi bacterium (groundwater metagenome) tRNA-Val". It matches the Rfam family "tRNA". From Rfam's summary of the family: Transfer RNA (tRNA) molecules are approximately 80 nucleotides in length. Their secondary structure includes four short double-helical elements and three loops (D, anti-codon, and T loops). Lineage: Bacteria; Bacillati; Chloroflexota. The record is from RNAcentral.
GUCCCCCUAGCUCAAUUGGCAGAGCACGCGGCUUACAUCCGCGGGGUUAUAGGUUCGAGUCCUAUGGGGGGCA